AAGUGAUUUUUGUCAGGAAAAUUUGCGUUACAAUCUUUUUCCGUAUAUUCAAAAUUAGCGCUGAAACAAAUAAAGUUGAAAAUAAUUUUUCACUUUCUAUUAACGCUUUAAAUAUUAAUUAAUACCUUUUAUUGUUUGUUGUUUUAUUUUUUAGUUCUUUAUGAAUAAGAUUAAUUAUAAAUUGAUAUUAGUCAAAACCCCGUUUAUAAAAUACAAAAUGUAACGCUGGUCAGGGGAAGUAAUUGUUGCGGUCUAUGAUUUUGUUUGUUGUCUAUGAUUAUCGUUCGUGCAAAUGGUGGCGCUGUUUGGAAAAUUUGAAAAACAACACGAUUGGCAAUUUAUUUGGAUUUCGAAGAUCCUGGUCCUGGUUGGAAUUUAGAGUAUUGCAGCUGUAGCCUGUAUACCAUACAUUCAACAUGAAAAGGACUGUCAGGAUGCUGCAUAAAAUGGUCUUAGCUAGAGCCUAGAAUGUUAAUUUCUUGGGAAUAUGCUGACCAAUCAUAGAAGCAGUAAGAGACAGCCUAAGAAGUACUCAAACACUUGACAUACCCAGAAAGAUCUAGAAGAAAAGAUUGGAACAUAUUGUAGUUUUAAAGUGAAUUUAAGCUGCACUUCAACUGUAUUUUUGAAAUAAAAUAUCUGAAGUAUUUAA
Ruditapes philippinarum (Manila clam) is the source of this 652-nucleotide long non-coding RNA. RefSeq lists it as uncharacterized. Lineage: Eukaryota; Metazoa; Mollusca; Bivalvia; Venerida; Veneridae. The record is from RefSeq and is a predicted model, not a curated record. The transcript has 4 exons.